ACACCGAGAGAGAGGGAGAGAAUGAGGGCAGAUGUGGAGAGCCGGAGACCCGGGCCGCGAGCGGGUAUUUGCCAGGGUCCAUUGUACUCACGCUGGGGGUGCUGAAGACCUUCUUUUACUGGUUCUGGUUAUCAGUCAAACUCUAGCUGACCUUUGGACUUAUUAAGCAAGUGGUUUGCAGCCUAGUAUGGAAAGCGCGGGGCUUUUUCACCGCCUGCGGGUCCGGCCCUAGUCCCAAGAGAGGACACUGAGCUUCGGGGGUUCAGGAGGCACUCAGCAGCCGAAAGUCAAGCACUCAGCUUACUGAAUAUUAAUUAUUCAAAUGCCUCUGGCCAUAUGGGAAUUGUUCAGCCGGUGAUGAAAUGAAGGCAAUGCUCCAGUGCCAUUGGACACGUCAGCUCCUGACCUUUCAAUCGAUGAGACACUUCCCACAAACAGAGCCAUGAAAGCCCACUGGUUUUCUCCCGGCCGGCUGAGCUCCUUGUGCAGUGAGCAACUUGGACAACCUCCUGUGAUGGCCCUGCUGUAAUCUCCUCUUGAGCAGAAUGUUCUGGCUUCUUGGCUCUCCCUCACAGCUGGAAGAUUCCUGCAUCCUAGAAAGAGGCCCUGCUCUCUCUCCUCAGAGGAUACAUAACAGACAGGAUCCCUGACUUUGUGUGCAUUUGAAUAGAGAGCCCGUCCAGAAGGUCAUUAACCCCAUCCCAUCCUCACUGGAUUCUCCUGGUUUCCCUGCAACUAAUACCACAAAGAGUUGAAAAAUGCAUCCUUCUUCUGAUUUCUGGAGGUGGCAGGAAGUAGGGGUGCCUACAGUGGUCACAGGAAGGGUUCAGAGAAGAAGAUGCUUCUAUAGCUGAUCGCAACAUUUUGAAGAGCAGGAGACCAGAGAAUUCUUCCUGGAAACUUGGGUCUGGUGUUUCCCUGCUCCACCCAAAGCAGGCAAAACAUGAUAAAAGGGAGAAGAGGUCACCCCAAGGAAAAUAAGCUGAGCCACCUACAUGUUGACAAUCAGAGUGUCUGUCAAGUUACCCAGGGACCAGGCUGCUUUGGUCCGGACAUUCAGAGACUUGUCUUGAAGUGACAUCAAUAUUGCAUUUGCUGUAUCAGCAACAAAUAUGACAUCCUAUAAGAUAAAAUAAAACAAAUCAAAAUACUAUAGUUACUUUAGGAGUUCCCACUGGUAUCUUUGAAAUUUUCAAAUUUAUUUUCAGAUAAAGCUAACCUUU
This is a long non-coding RNA of Choloepus didactylus (southern two-toed sloth), 1223 nucleotides long. RefSeq lists it as uncharacterized. The transcript has 8 exons. The record is from RefSeq and is a predicted model, not a curated record. Lineage: Eukaryota; Metazoa; Chordata; Mammalia; Pilosa; Megalonychidae.